GUGGGGAAUCUUGCGCUAUGGGCGAAAGCCUGACGCAGCCAUGCCGCGUGAAUGAUGAAGGUCUUAGGAUUGUAAAAUUCUUUCACCGGGGACGAUAAUGACGGUACCCGGAGAAGAAGCUCCGGCUAACUUCGUGCCAGCAGCCGCGGUAAUACGAAGGGGGCUAGCGUUGCUCGGAAUUACUGGGCGUAAAGGGCGCGUAGGCGGACAGCUUAGUCAGAGGUGAAAGCCCAGGGCUCAACCUUGGAAUUGCCUUUGAUACUGGCUGUCUUGAGUUUGGGAGAGGUGAGUGGAACUCCGAGUGUAGAGGUGAAAUUCGUAGAUAUUCGGAAGAACACCAGUGGCGAAGGCGACUCACUGGCCCAAUACUGACGCUGAGGCGCGAAAGCGUGGGGAGCAAACAGGAUUAGAUACCCGAGUAGUCC
This 425-nucleotide ribosomal RNA is filed under the name uncultured bacterium. RNAcentral describes it as "partial 16S ribosomal RNA". It matches the Rfam family "Bacterial small subunit ribosomal RNA", at positions 354 to 796 of the family's 1533-position model. The record is from RNAcentral.